CCAGUCAGACACCUAGAGGGGAAACAUCCUUGUCAGGUGUUGGCUAUAACAGGGGCUAUAACAGGGGUGAUACAGUUUCUGGUCAGGUGUUGGGCUAUAACAGGGGCUAUAACACGGGUGAUACAGUUUCUGGUCAGGUGUUGGGCUAUAACAGGGGCUAUAACACGGGUGAUACAGUUUAUCUGGUCAGGUGUUGGGCUAUAACAGGGGCUAUAACACGGGUGAUACAGUUUAUCUGGUCAGGUGCUGGGCUGUAACAGGGGCUAUAACAGGGGUGAUACAGUAUAUCUGGUCAGGUGUUGGCUAUAACAGGGGUGAUACAGUUUAUCUGGUCAGGUGUUGGGCUAUAACAGGGGCUAUAACACGGGUGAUACAGUUUAUCUGGUCAGGUGCUGGGCUGUAACAGGGGCUAUAACAGGGGUGAUACAGUUUAUCUGGUCAGGUGUUGGGCUAUAACAGGGGCUAUAACAGGGGUGAUACAGUUUAUCUGGUCAGGUGUUGGGCUAUAACAGGGGCUAUAACAGGGGUGAUACAGUAUAUCUGGUCAGGUGCUGGGCUAUAACAGGGGCUAUAACAGGGGUGAUACAGUUUCUGGUCAGGUGUUGGGCUAUAACGGGGGUUUUACAGUUUCUGGUCAGGUGCUGGGCUAUAACAGGGGCUAUAACAGGGGUGAGACAGUUUAUCUGGUCAGGUGUUGGCUAUAACAGGGGUGAUACAGUUUAUCUGGUCAGGUGUUGGGCUAUAACAGGGGUGAUACAGUUUAUCUGGUCAGGUGUUGGGCUAUAACAGGGGCUAUAACAGGGGUGAUACAGUAUAUCUGGUCAGGUGUUGGGCUAUAACAGGGGUGAUACAGUUUAUCUGGUCAGGUGCUGGGCUAUAACAGGGGCUAUAACAGGGGCUAUAACAGGG
RNAcentral lists this long non-coding RNA (909 nucleotides) under Salmo salar (Atlantic salmon). RNAcentral describes it as "lncRNA (ENSSSAG00000114548.1)". The record is from RNAcentral. Lineage: Eukaryota; Metazoa; Chordata; Actinopteri; Salmoniformes; Salmonidae.